AGCGCAAUCACUUGUCUUUUAAAUGGAGACCUGUAUGAAUGGCAUGACGAGGGCUUGACUGUCUCCUUUUUCUGGUCAAUGAAAUUGAUCUCCCCGUGCAGAAGCGGGGAUAGGGACAUAAGACGAGAAGACCCUGUGGAGCUUUAGACACCAGGGCAGGCUGUGUGAAUAAAACCUGAAUAAGGACCAGAACAAGCAGACGSUGCCCAAAUGUUUUUGGUUGGGGCGACCGUGGGGGAAAAAAUAACCCCCAUGUGGACCGGGAGAACCUCUCCUAGAAGCAAGAACCACAGUUCUAGCUGACAGAACUUCUGACCUACAAGAUCCGGCCAAUGCCGAUAAACGGACAGAGUUACCCCAGGGAUAACAGCGCAUUCCUCUUUGAGAGCCCCCAUCGAUAAGAGGGUUUACGACCUCGAUUUUGGAUCAGGACAUCCUGGUGGUGCAGCCGCUAUAAAGGGUUCGU
Molecule: ribosomal RNA, 466 nt
Filed under: Mullus barbatus (red mullet)
Lineage: Eukaryota; Metazoa; Chordata; Actinopteri; Syngnathiformes; Mullidae
Description: partial large subunit ribosomal RNA
Source: RNAcentral